RNAcentral lists this ribosomal RNA (425 nucleotides) under uncultured bacterium. RNAcentral's name for it is "partial 16S ribosomal RNA". It matches the Rfam family "Bacterial small subunit ribosomal RNA", at positions 354 to 796 of the family's 1533-position model. The record is from RNAcentral.
GUGGGGAAUCUUGCGCAAUGGGCGAAAGCCUGACGCAGCCAUGCCGCGUGAAUGAUGAAGGUCUUAGGAUUGUAAAAUUCUUUCACCGGGGACGAUAAUGACGGUACCCGGAGAAGAAGCUCCGGCUAACUUCGUGUCAGCAGCCGCGGUAAUACGAAGGGGGCUAGCGUUGCUCGGAAUUACUGGGCGUAAAGGGCGCGUAGGCGGACAGCUUAGUCAGAGGUGAAAGCCCAGGGCUCAACCUUGGAAUUGCCUUUGAUACUGGCUGUCUUGAGUUUGGGAGAGGUGAGUGGAACUCCGAGUGUAGAGGUGAAAUUCGUAGAUAUUCGGAAGAACACCAGUGGCGAAGGCGACUCACUGGCCCAAUACUGACGCUGAGGCGCGAAAGCGUGGGGAGCAAACAGGAUUAGAAACCCUAGUAGUCC